Molecule: ribosomal RNA, 150 nt
Filed under: uncultured bacterium
Lineage: Bacteria
Description: partial 16S ribosomal RNA
Rfam family: Bacterial small subunit ribosomal RNA
Source: RNAcentral
GUGGAGACUGGUAAUCUUGAAUGUCGUAGAGGUAAGCGGAAUAUGUCAUGUAGCGGUGAAAUGCUUAGAGAUGACAUAGAACACCAAUUGCGAAGGCAGCUUGCUAUGCGAUUAUUGACACUGAGGCACGAAAGCGUGGGUAGCAAACAG